RNAcentral lists this ribosomal RNA (537 nucleotides) under uncultured Actinomycetes bacterium. RNAcentral describes it as "bacterial SSU rRNA". It matches the Rfam family "Bacterial small subunit ribosomal RNA", at positions 558 to 1095 of the family's 1533-position model. The record is from RNAcentral. Lineage: Bacteria; Bacillati; Actinomycetota; Actinomycetes.
GCGGUAAGAGCUCGUAGGUGGUUCGUCACGUUCGGAUGUGAAAAUCUGGGGCUUAACCCCAGACCUGCAUUCGAUACGGGCGAGCUAGAGUGUGGUAGGGGAGACUGGAAUUCCUGGUGUAGCGGUGGAAUGCNCAGAUAUCAUGAGGAACACCAAUGGCGAAGGCAGGUCUCUGGGCCAUUACUGACACUGAGGAGCGAAAGCGUGGGGAGCGAACAGGAUUAGAUACCCUGGUAGUCCACGCCNUAAACGGUGGGCACUAGUUGUGGGAACCUUCCACGGUUUCUGCGACGCAGCUAACGCAUUAAGUGCCCCGCCUGGGGAGUACGAUCGCAAGAUUAAAACUCAAAGGAAUUGACGGGGCCCCGCACAAGCAGCGGAGCAUGCGGCUUAAUUCNACGCAACGCGAAGAACCUUACCAAGGCUUGACAUAUACAGGAAUAUGGCAGAGAUGUCAUAUCCGCAAGGUCUGUAUACAGGUGGUGCAUGGUUGUCGUCANCUCNUGUCGUGAGAUGUUGGGNUAAGUCCCGCAACGA